Molecule: ribosomal RNA, 253 nt
Filed under: uncultured prokaryote
Description: partial 16S ribosomal RNA
Rfam family: Bacterial small subunit ribosomal RNA
Source: RNAcentral
UACGUAGGGUCCGAGCGUUAAUCGGAAUUACUGGGCGUAAAGCGUGCGCAGGCGGUCUCGCAUGUCCGAUGUGAAAUCCCCGGGCUUAACCUGGGAACUGCGUUGGAAACUACGAGGCUUGAGUACGGCAGAGGGGGGUGGAAUUCCACGUGUAGCAGUGAAAUGCGUAGAGAUGUGGAGGAACACCGAUGGCGAAGGCGACAUACUGGAUCUUGUCUGACGCUGAGGCACGAAAGCCAGGGGAGCGAACGGG